This 253-nucleotide ribosomal RNA is filed under the name uncultured bacterium. RNAcentral describes it as "partial 16S ribosomal RNA". It matches the Rfam family "Bacterial small subunit ribosomal RNA", at positions 524 to 776 of the family's 1533-position model. The record is from RNAcentral.
UACGGGGGAGCAAGCGUUGUUCGGAUUUACUGGGCGUAAAGGGCUCGUAGGCGGCCAACUAAGUCAGACGUGAAAUCCCUCGGCUUAACCGGGGAACUGCGUCUGAUACUGGAUGGCUUGAGUUUGGGAGAGGGAUGCGGAAUUCCAGGUGUAGCGGUGAAAUGCGUAGAUAUCGGGAGGAACACCCGUAGCGAAGGCGGUUCUCUGGGCCAAUACUGACGCUGAGGAGCGAAAGCGUGGGGAGCGAAACAGG